AGCUCAAAUUUGAAAGCUGGUACCUUCGGUAUCCGCGUUGUAACCUCGAGACACGUUUUCCGUGCGGCGCUAUGGACAAGUUCCUUGGAACAGGACAUCGUAGAGGGUGAAAAUCCCGUACUUGCCAUGGAUGUACCGUGCUUUGCGAUACGUGCUCUAAGAGUCGAGUUGUUUGGGAUUGCAGCUCAAAAUGGGUGGUAGACUCCAUCUAAAGCUAAAUAUCGGGGAGAGACCGAUAGCGAACAAGUACCGUGAGGGAAAGAUGAAAAGCACUUUGGAAAGAGAGUUAAAAGUACGUGAAAUUGUCGAAAGGGAAGCGCUUGAAGUCAGCCAUGCCGCUCAGGACUCAGCCUGGCUUUUGCUUGGUGUAUUUCCUGGGUAGCAAGUCAGCAUUGGUUUGGAUCGUCGGAGAAGCAUAGUCGGAAUGUGGCGCCCUCGGGCGUGUUAUAGCCUUCUAUUGGAUACGACGAUCUAGACCAAGGAACGCAGCGCGCCUUAUGGCGGGUCUUCGGACACCUUCGCGCUUAGGAUGCUGGCGUAAUGGCUUUAAGUGGCCCGU
RNAcentral lists this ribosomal RNA (559 nucleotides) under Malassezia furfur. RNAcentral describes it as "eukaryotic LSU rRNA". It matches the Rfam family "Eukaryotic large subunit ribosomal RNA", at positions 106 to 652 of the family's 3401-position model. The record is from RNAcentral. Lineage: Eukaryota; Fungi; Basidiomycota; Malasseziomycetes; Malasseziales; Malasseziaceae.